GGCGCAGCCUUUCUUUUGGUAGCAGUCAUUUGGGAAAAACUUAAUUGUUUGCUGAAUGCCACAAAAACAAAGUUAUUUAUAAAAACCUGGGAAGAUGCUGAAAGAAAACUCAAAAUUGCUCAAGUACGAUCAGAUUUAGAUUCGACAGACCCAGACGAGCUUGGUAGGGGUAAAAGAGUUCAAAAUAAACGAUUGGUUGCUGAUUUAUCUUCUGAUGACUGAUUAUAUGGUUGCUGAUGAUAUUAUACCAGAAACGCCUAAGUUCAUUCAUAAAAGGAAAUCAAACAUUGAAAAUAAAAGACCCCUUAUUGAAAAGCUUUUUACUGCUGAAAUUAAUGGUGACAAGACAAAUGCAGAGAGUUCCCCCACUGUGUCCCGUUAUGCUGCAACACAAUCUGG
Long non-coding RNA from Uloborus diversus, 399 nucleotides. RefSeq lists it as uncharacterized. The transcript has 3 exons. The record is from RefSeq and is a predicted model, not a curated record. NCBI's taxonomy places the organism in Eukaryota, Metazoa, Arthropoda, Arachnida, Araneae, Uloboridae.